CGGGGCGUAGCGUAGCCCGGUUGAGCGCCUGCUUCGGGAGCAGGAGGUCGGAGGUUCAAAUCCUCUCGCCCCGA
This 74-nucleotide transfer RNA is filed under the name Acidimicrobiia bacterium. Its description in RNAcentral is "tRNA-Pro". It matches the Rfam family "tRNA". From Rfam's summary of the family: Transfer RNA (tRNA) molecules are approximately 80 nucleotides in length. Their secondary structure includes four short double-helical elements and three loops (D, anti-codon, and T loops). The record is from RNAcentral. Lineage: Bacteria; Bacillati; Actinomycetota; Acidimicrobiia.